GUCAGCCAGUUACAAAUCCACUGAGUGGUAGCAUAGUCAAGACCGCAUUUUACCAGCUUCUUUACAAGAAUAUCAUGGGGCACCUUGUCGAAUGCCUUGCUGAAAUCAAGGUAGGCUACAUCCACUGCGUUCCCUUCAUCUACCAGGCUUGUAAUUCUGUCAAAAAACGAGAUCAGGUUAGUCUGACAUGACUUAUUUUUCAGAAAUCCAUGCUGACUAUUGGUGAUCACAGCAUUCCUUUCUAGGUGCUCACAGACUGUUUGCUUAAUGAUCUGCUCCAGAAUCUUCCCUGGUAUUGAUGUCAGAC
This 307-nucleotide long non-coding RNA is filed under the name Podarcis lilfordi (Lilford's wall lizard). Lineage: Eukaryota; Metazoa; Chordata; Lepidosauria; Squamata; Lacertidae. The record is from RNAcentral.